CCUACGGGUGGCAGCAGUGAGGAAUAUUGGUCAAUGGACGCAAGCCUGAACCAGCCAUGUCGCGUGAAGGAUGACGGAUCUAUGGGUUGUAAACUGCUUUUGUACGGGGGUAAACGCCGGUACGUGUCCCGCUCUGCAUGUACCUUACGAAUAAGGAUCGGCUAACUCCGUGCCAGCAGCCGCGGUAAUACGGAGGAUCCAAGCGUUAUCCGGAUUUAUUGGGUUUAAAGGGUGCGUAGGCGGUCUGAUAAGUCAGAGGUGAAAUCCCGAGGCUCAACCUCGGAAUUGCCUCUGAUACUGGUGGGCUAGAGAAUGUGUGCGGUAGGCGGAAUGUAUGGUGUAGCGGUGAAAUGCAUAGAGAUCAUACAGAACACCGAUUGCGAAGGCAGCCUACCAAGCCACGACUGACGCUGAGGCACGAAAGCGUGGGGAGCAAACAGGAUUAGAUACCCGUGUAGUC
Molecule: ribosomal RNA, 460 nt
Filed under: uncultured bacterium
Lineage: Bacteria
Description: partial 16S ribosomal RNA
Rfam family: Bacterial small subunit ribosomal RNA
Source: RNAcentral